RNAcentral lists this transfer RNA (72 nucleotides) under Nonomuraea endophytica. RNAcentral describes it as "Nonomuraea sp. YIM 65601 tRNA". It matches the Rfam family "tRNA". Rfam says of the family: Transfer RNA (tRNA) molecules are approximately 80 nucleotides in length. Their secondary structure includes four short double-helical elements and three loops (D, anti-codon, and T loops). RNAcentral also lists the same sequence under 10 other names. Lineage: Bacteria; Bacillati; Actinomycetota; Actinomycetes; Streptosporangiales; Streptosporangiaceae. The record is from Rfam by way of RNAcentral.
GGACGAUUAGCUCAGCGGUAGAGCACUCGCCUUACAAGCGAGGGGUCACUGGUUCGAACCCAGUAUCGUCCA